Molecule: ribosomal RNA, 425 nt
Filed under: uncultured bacterium
Lineage: Bacteria
Description: bacterial SSU rRNA
Rfam family: Bacterial small subunit ribosomal RNA
Source: RNAcentral
GUGGGGAAUAUUGGACAAUGGGCGCAAGCCUGAUCCAGCAAUGCCGCGUGUGUGAAGAAGGUCUUCGGAUCGUAAAGCACUUUCGACGGGGACGAUGAUGACGGUACCCGUAGAAGAAGCCCCGGCUAACUUCGUGCCAGCAGCCGCGGUAAUACGAAGGGGGCUAGCGUUGCUCGGAAUUACUGGGCGUAAAGGGCGCGUAGGCGGCUCUGUGAGUCAGGCGUGAAAUUCCUGGGCUUAACCUGGGGACUGCGCUUGAUACUGCAGGGCUUGAGGCCGAGAGAGGGUGGUGGAAUUCCCAGUGUAGAGGUGAAAUUCGUAGAUAUUGGGAAGAACACCGGUGGCGAAGGCGACCACCUGGCUCGGUACUGACGCUGAGGCGCGACAGCGUGGGGAGCAAACAGGAUUAGAAACCCCGGUAGUCC